Molecule: ribosomal RNA, 198 nt
Filed under: uncultured bacterium
Lineage: Bacteria
Description: partial 16S ribosomal RNA
Rfam family: Bacterial small subunit ribosomal RNA
Source: RNAcentral
ACGCUCGACACCUACGGGAGGUAGCAGUGGGGAAUAUUGCACAAUGGGGGAAACCCUGAUGCAGCAACGCCGCGUGAGUGAAGAAGUAUUUCGGUAUGUAAAGCUCUAUCAGCAGGGAAGAUAAUGACGGUACCUGACUAAGAAGCUCCGGCUAAAUACGUGCCAGCAGCCGCGGUAAUCUGAGCGGGCUGGCAAGGC